CUCUGGAAACCUCUGUUUUCUUAGAUUUGGAGCAGGGUGGUCACACUGACCUUGCAGAGUUCUGAGAAUCAGAGACAGAACAUAAAAGGCCUGGAAAACAUUCUCCAAAAAGAAGCUGCAACAUGUGUGGACAGUGGGCUUUUCAUGCCUCUCUUACUGUCUCUUACUGUCUGUUGACCUGGUGCAAGAAACAUGCUCUGGUGAUGGCUGUGAGGGAGGAA
Molecule: long non-coding RNA, 221 nt
Filed under: Homo sapiens (human)
Lineage: Eukaryota; Metazoa; Chordata; Mammalia; Primates; Hominidae
Description: HSALNT0229497
Source: RNAcentral